GUGCACUUAGCUUAGUUGGUAAAAAGCAUCAAUCUUGAAGUUUGAGGACGUGGGUUUGAAACCCAUAGUGCACA
Transfer RNA from Puccinia triticina 1-1 BBBD Race 1, 74 nucleotides. It matches the Rfam family "tRNA". From Rfam's summary of the family: Transfer RNA (tRNA) molecules are approximately 80 nucleotides in length. The record is from Rfam. NCBI's taxonomy places the organism in Eukaryota, Fungi, Basidiomycota, Pucciniomycetes, Pucciniales, Pucciniaceae.